AGUGAACGCUGGCGGUAGGCCUAACACAUGCAAGUCGAACGGCAGCACCGUAAGAGCUUGCUCUUACGGGUGGCGAGUGGCGGACGGGUGAGGAAUACAUCGGAAUCUACUUUUUCGUGGGGGCUCACGUAGGGAAACUUACGCUAAUAUCGCAUACGACCUGCGGGUGAAAGCAGGGGAUCUUCGGACCUUGCGCGAUUGAAUGCGCCGAUGUCGGAUUAGCUAGUUGGCGGGGUAAAGGCCCACCAAGGCGACGAUCCGUAGCUGGUCUGAGAGGAUGAUCAGCCACACUGGAACUGAGACACGGUCCAGACUCCUACGGGAGGCAGCAGUGGGGAAUAUUGGACAAUGGACGCAAGCCUGAUCCAGCCAUACCGCGUGGGUGAAGAAGGCCUUCGGGUUGUAAAGCCCUUUUGUUGGGAAAGAAAAGCAGCAGGUUAAUACCCCGCUGUUCUGACGGUACCCAAAGAAUAAGCACCGGCUAACUUCGUG
RNAcentral lists this ribosomal RNA (492 nucleotides) under uncultured bacterium. RNAcentral's name for it is "partial 16S ribosomal RNA". It matches the Rfam family "Bacterial small subunit ribosomal RNA", at positions 29 to 507 of the family's 1533-position model. The record is from RNAcentral.